GGGUGCUUAGCUCAGUGGUAGAGCGGCGCCCUUACAAGGCGUAGGUCGGGAGUUCGAGCCUCUCAGCACCCACCA
RNAcentral lists this transfer RNA (75 nucleotides) under uncultured Paraburkholderia sp. RNAcentral's name for it is "tRNA-Val-TAC". It matches the Rfam family "tRNA". Rfam says of the family: Transfer RNA (tRNA) molecules are approximately 80 nucleotides in length. Their secondary structure includes four short double-helical elements and three loops (D, anti-codon, and T loops). The record is from RNAcentral. Lineage: Bacteria; Pseudomonadati; Pseudomonadota; Betaproteobacteria; Burkholderiales; Burkholderiaceae.